AACGAACGCUGGCGGCAGGCCUAACACAUGCAAGUCGAGCGCUGUAGCAAUACAGAGCGGCGCACGGGAGAGUAAUACAUGGGAAACCUACCUUUUGGUUCGGAAUAACGUCGGGAAACUGACGCUAAUACCGGAUAAGCCCUUCGGGGGAAAGUUUUCGUCCGAUAGAUGGGCCCGAUGUUGGAUUAGUCUAGUUGGUGAGGUAACGGCUCACCAAGGCUACGAUCCAUAGCUGGUCNGAGAGGAUGAUCAGCCUCACUGGGACUGAGACACGGCCCAGACUCCUACGGGAGGCAGCAGUGGGGAAUAUUGGACAAUGGGGGAAACCCGUGAUCCAGCCAUGCCGCGUGAGUGAUGAAGCUCUUCGGAGUGUAAACCUCUGUGCCCGGACGAAUAGCGGAUUAUUCCGACUUGACGGUACCGGGCGAGGAAGCACC
This 437-nucleotide ribosomal RNA is filed under the name uncultured bacterium. RNAcentral describes it as "bacterial SSU rRNA". It matches the Rfam family "Bacterial small subunit ribosomal RNA", at positions 29 to 494 of the family's 1533-position model. The record is from RNAcentral.